UGCUAUGAUGAAGAUGCAACCUCAAUGGCACUACCAAGGGGCCAUGCUGCUUCAACAAAUGAAUUGCUAUAAGGCACCUUCUUUACCAAUGUAAUAUCCUGAUAUACCAAAUCCAUCCACAAGUAACGUGUACUGGUAGACUAGAUCCAUGCAAAGGUAUGGAACGUUCUCCUCUGAAACAUCCGGGUAGGUGGCCUGUGCAUCCUUCACAUUCAGUUUACAAACACGUCGUGCAGCUUCUUCGAAGUCUGAGGGUUUAACCUUAGCAAAUGUUUUGUUGCCACAAGGACUUACCUCAGCAGCCCGAUCGAAGAAAAAUGAUGCAACAAAAAGAUUCUUCUGCCCAUCUCCUCCACCACCAUUCCACACACCACCAAAUGUACAUUUCAUGUGAGUGCAUGCUGGUUCGUCAACUUUGAGAGCUCUCACAGCAACAGCCCUGCACUUGGAAUAACUUGCACCAGAUGACAAACCUGAUGCUUCGAAUAUAUCGUCACCAUAUCUGUAUUGUCCUUGAUGUCCUUCCAACAUACAGUUGCGGUAAUCAUUGCCUUCACCUGCUUUUAAGAUCUCUGCUCUAGCCGCCAGCAAUCCAUAACGCAAAUAACUGUAGAA
This 615-nucleotide small RNA is filed under the name Oryza sativa Japonica Group (Japanese rice). RNAcentral's name for it is "sRNA Os03g0328450". The record is from RNAcentral. Lineage: Eukaryota; Viridiplantae; Streptophyta; Magnoliopsida; Poales; Poaceae.